CCUACGGGAGGCAGCAGUAGGGAAUAUUGCUCAAUGGGGGAAACCCUGAAGCAGCAACGCCGCGUGGAGGAUGAAGGUUUUCGGAGUGUAAACUCCUUUCGUUAGAGAAGAUAAUGACGGUAUCUAACGAAUAAGCACCGGCUAACUCCGUGCCAGCAGCCGCGGUAAUACGGAGGGUGCAAGCGUUACUCGGAAUCACUGGGCGUAAAGAGCGCGUAGGCGGGAUAGCAAGUCUGAUGUGAAAUCCUAUGGCUUAACCAUAGAACUGCUUUUGAAACUGUUAAUCUAGAGUAUGGGAGAGGUAGGUGGAAUUCUUGGUGUAGGGGUAAAAUCCGUAGAGAUCAAGAGGAAUACUCAUUGCGAAGGCGGCCUGCUGGAACAUAACUGACGCUGAUGCGCGAAAGCGUGGGGAGCAAACAGGAUUAGAUACCCGUGUAGUC
Molecule: ribosomal RNA, 440 nt
Filed under: uncultured bacterium
Lineage: Bacteria
Description: partial 16S ribosomal RNA
Rfam family: Bacterial small subunit ribosomal RNA
Source: RNAcentral